UUUGAGACCGGCGCACGGGUGCGUAACGCGUAUGCAAUCUACCCUUUCCAGAGGGAUAGCCCAGAGAAAUUUGGAUUAAUACCUCAUAGUAUAGCAGUUUCGCAUGAAACCACUAUUAAAGUCACAACGGUGAAAGAUGAGCAUGCGUCCCAUUAGCUAGUUGGUAAGGUAACGGCUUACCAAGGCAACGAUGGGUAGGGGUCCUGAGAGGGAGAUCCCCCACACUGGUACUGAGACACGGACCAGACUCCUACGGGAGGCAGCAGUGAGGAAUAUUGGACAAUGGGCGCAAGCCUGAUCCAGCCAUGCCGCGUGCAGGAUGACGGUCCUAUGGAUUGUAAACUGCUUUUGUACAGGAAGAAACACCUCUACGUGUAGAGACUUGACGGUACUGUAAGAAUAAGGAUCGGCUAACUCCGUGCCAGCAGCCGCGGUAAUACGGAGGAUCCAAGCGUUAUCCGGAAUCAUUGGGUUUAAAGGGUCCGUAGGCGGUUUAGUAAGUCAGUGGUGAAAGCCCAUCGCUCAACGGUGGAACGGCCAUUGAUACUGCUAGACUUGAAUUAUUAGGAAGUAACUAGAAUAUGUAGUGUAGCGGUGAAAUGCUUAGAGAUUACAUGGAAUACCAAUUGCGAAGGCAGGUUACUACUAAUUGAUUGACGCUGAUGGACGAAAGCGUGGGUAGCGAACAGGAUUAGAUACCCUGGUAGUCCACGCCGUAAACGAUGGAUACUAGCUGUUGGGCGCAAGUUCAGUGGCUAAGCGAAAGUGAUAAGUAUCCCACCUGGGGAGUGCGUU
RNAcentral lists this ribosomal RNA (795 nucleotides) under uncultured bacterium. Its description in RNAcentral is "bacterial SSU rRNA". It matches the Rfam family "Bacterial small subunit ribosomal RNA", at positions 88 to 886 of the family's 1533-position model. The record is from RNAcentral.